AGUGAACGCUGGCGGUAGGCCUAACACAUGCAAGUCGAACGGCAGCACAGUAAGAGCUUGCUCUUACGGGUGGCGAGUGGCGGACGGGUGAGGAAUACAUCGGAAUCUACUUUUUCGUGGGGGAUAACGUAGGGAAACUUACGCUAAUACCGCAUACGACCUACGGGUGAAAGCAGUGGAUCUUCGGACCUUGCGCGAUUGAAUGAGCCGAUGUCGGAUUAGCUAGUUGGCGGGGUAAAGGCCCACCAAGGCGACGAUCCGUAGCUGGUCUGAGAGGAUGAUCAGCCACACUGGAACUGAGACACGGUCCAGACUCCUACGGGAGGCAGCAGUAGGGAAUAUUGGACAAUGGGCGAAAGCCUGAUCCAGCCAUACCGCGUGGGUGAAGAAGGCCUUCGGGUUGUAAAGCCCUUUUGUUGGGAAAGAAAAGCAGCAUGUUAAUACCCCGCUGUUCUGACGGUACCCAAAGAAUAAGCACCGGCUAACUUCGUG
Molecule: ribosomal RNA, 492 nt
Filed under: uncultured bacterium
Lineage: Bacteria
Description: partial 16S ribosomal RNA
Rfam family: Bacterial small subunit ribosomal RNA
Source: RNAcentral